RNAcentral lists this long non-coding RNA (246 nucleotides) under Nicotiana benthamiana. Its description in RNAcentral is "long non-coding RNA (NBEN_LNC026869)". Lineage: Eukaryota; Viridiplantae; Streptophyta; Magnoliopsida; Solanales; Solanaceae. The record is from RNAcentral.
CUAGCUUGCACAAUCCAUACAGUCUAAGUAAGAGAUCACCUUGUAGUUGUUGAUUAUCCAGAAGAGGAGUUCUGCAAUCUAAUAUCUUUCUAACUACCCAAGAUGCUGCCUUGGGAAUAGGCAUUGUAGCAAUGUCAUGGUUCUUAAUGUAAUAGUAGUGUAUCCAUUUGAUCCACAAACAAUCUUUCUUCCUAGCCAAGUCCCAAAGGAGCUUAGUGAUAGCUGCCUUAUUCCAUAUAUACAUGU